ACACUCUCUUCCUUCUCUUUAGUUUGCCAGCAUCAGGCGGGAAACCGACUAUUUGGGGGGUAAAGCCCUCCCUCCAAAACCAAUUCCCAAUUCCACAUACACAGACAGAUCCAUUUCUCUCUCUGUAAAACCCUAAUCCUCUCUUCUCAAUUCUAGAGAGAGAAAGAGCAGAGCAGAGCUAGGGAUAAAAUUUCCAUGGCAUUUCCCCGGAACGACCAAGACGACGACACCAACAACAUCGACGUCUACACCUCCGCCGGCGCUCCCCUUAGGUACCUUCCUCUCGACCAUCUUUACUCCCACACUUCUCCUUGCCUUAGCGCUACUACCACUGCAUCAUCUAACGUCAUGUCCAAGAAGGUUAAGGCUCGCAAGCUUACCGUUGCUAACGAUGACCAUCGUAUCGUCGAUGAUGGCUCUGACGGAAAGCCGCCAUUGAUCAAGACUGCGUCUUUAUCUUCUUCUAAGCCUCCAAUUGUGCGUGUCUAUACUCGCCGCUCUAAGAGGCCUCACCCUUCAUCCUCAUUUUACGAUUCGUUAGUAGCUCGGGUGGACCCGACGACGACGAUAUCGGGCGAUGCUGUGGACGAGGGGGGAGGUUCUGAGGCUGGGAGGUUGUUGAAGAAGAAGAGGAGGAAUUUAGGGGUUGGUGAAUUGGUGAAAUUGGGUGUGGACUCGAAUGUUUUGUCCAGUUUGGAUAGGCCACGGUUGAGGGAUUGCCGGAACUAUAAUUUUGUUAGACAGAGUAAUUGCAAGGGUUUGAAGAUGAAGAAGCGGAUCUCUACUGAGAAUGGCGUGAAAAUUUUGUCCGAUUCGGCUUCUACGAAGAGAUGGGUCAGGUUGAGUAUUGAUGGUGCUGAUCCAAAAUCAUUUAUUGGGUUAAAAUGCAAGGUUUAUUGGCCAUUGGACGCUGACUGGUAUUCAGGUCGCAUUGUGGGAUAUCAUCCUGACACUAAUCAUCAUCAUGUUAAAUACGAAGAUGGUGAUGAGGAAAAAUUGGUUCUAUCAAAUGAGAGAACGAAGUUUUACAUUUCUCGUGAAGAAAUGGAAAGUUUGAAUUUGAGUUGCAGUCUUAACAAUGUGGAUAGUGAUUUAUAUGAUUACAAUGAGAUGGUUGUCUUGGCUGCAAGUUUGGAUGACUGCCAAGAAGUUGAGCCUGGGGAUAUUAUAUGGGCCAAGCUUACUGGUCAUGCUAUGUGGCCAGCCAUUGUUGUUGAUGAAUCUCUCAUUGUAGAUCGUAAAGGCUUAAGCAGAACUGCAGGUGGAAGAUCAGUUCCAGUCCAAUUUUUUGGCACCCAUGAUUUUGCAAGGAUUAGAGUGAAGCAGGUUAUCUCAUUUCUCAGGGGACUUCUUUCUUCCUUUCACCUUAAGUGCAAGAAGCAACGUUUUAUUAGAGGCUUGGAAGAAGCGAAAAUGUAUCUGAGUGAACAGAAGCUUCCAAACAGAAUGCUACGCCUGCAAAAUGGAAUUAAUGUAGAUGAAUCUGAUCCAAGUGGAGAGGAUGACGGGGAUACAGAUUUAGAUGAAGAUUGUGUGAAGGAUCUGGGCGUCCAGAGAACGUUGGAGAGCCUUCGAACUUCACCUUAUGUCAUAGGGGAUCUGCAAGUGAUAAGUGUUGGGAAGAUUGUUGAAGAUUCAGAAUAUUUUCAAGAUGAUAGAUCCAUUUGGCCUGAAGGAUAUACUGCUCUGAGGAAGUUUACUUCUAUAACAGAUCCAAGUGCGUGUACUGUGUAUAAGAUGGAAGUAUUGAGAGAUGCUGAGUUACAAAUUCGACCUAUGUUUAGAGUGACUUUAGAAAGUGGAGAGCAGUUCAAGGGAUCCACUCCAUCUUCUUGCUGGAGUAAAAUAUAUAAAAGGAUACGGAAACUUCAAAACCCUUCUGAUGGUUCUUUUAAUGAAGAAAGAUUAGAAAGUACUUACAGAUCUGGCUCUUACAUGUUUGGUUUCUCCAUUCCUGAAGUUGCAAAACUUAUAAAGGGUUUAUCAAAGUCCACACUUUCUUCAAAACUUUCCAUGUGCAAAUUAGCCUCUAGAAGAUAUCGAGACCUGCCAGUUGGCUAUAGGCCUGUUCGUGUAGACUGGAAAGACCUUGAUAAAUGCAGUGUUUGCCAUAUGGAUGAGGAGUAUGAAAACAACCUUUUUCUGCAGUGUGACAAAUGCAGAAUGAUGGUGCAUGCAAGAUGUUAUGGAGAAGUAGAACCAUUUGAUGGAGUUCUAUGGCUGUGCAACUUAUGUCGCCCAGGGGCUCCUGAGUUUCCCCCUCCUUGCUGCCUCUGCCCUGUUAUAGGGGGUGCAAUGAAGCCUACCACUGAUGGGCGCUGGGCUCAUCUGGCUUGUGCCAUAUGGAUUCCAGAAACUUGUUUAUCGGAUGUCAAGCGGAUGCAACCAAUUGAUGGACUAAGUAGGAUCAGCAAGGAUCGUUGGAAGCUGUUAUGCAGCAUUUGCGGUGUUUCUUAUGGGGCCUGUAUUCAAUGUUCAAACAAUAGUUGUCGUGUGGCAUAUCACCCUCUUUGUGCACGAGCUGCUGGGCUUUGUGUUGAGCUCGAGGAUGAAGACAGACUUCAUCUCCUCUCUUUUGAGGAUGAUGAAGAAGAUCAAUGCAUUCGUCUUCUUUCCUUUUGUAAGAGGCAUAAGCAGCCAUCUAAUGAUCGUUCAGCUGUGGAUGAACGCAUUGCACGGACUGCUUGCCAAUGUUCAGACUUCACCCCACCAUCUAAUCCAUCUGGCUGUGCUCGAAGUGAACCUUACAAUUACUUCGGUAGGAGGGGACGAAAAGAACCUGAAGCUCUAGCUGCUGCAUCCUCAAAGCGCUUGUUUGUAGAUAACCAGCCUUAUUUAGUAAGUGGUCACACUCAACAUGGAUUGGGUACAAACUCACUGCCUUCCAACGGGGUUGUAGGCUCUAAGUUCUCUAGCCUUUUAAGGUUGAAAAUCAGUCAGCUUGAGACUCCCAACAACAUACUUUCCAUGGCUGAGAAAUACAAGUACAUGCGGGAGACCUUCCGGAAGAGAUUAGCUUUUGGGAAAUCAGGAAUUCAUGGAUUUGGCAUCUUUGCAAAGCUUCCUCAUAGAGCAGGAGACAUGGUGAUUGAAUACACGGGAGAACUUGUUAGACCUCCUAUUGCUGACAGAAGGGAAAAGUUUAUAUACAACUCAUUGGUGGGGGCUGGGACUUAUAUGUUUCGGAUUGAUGAUGAAAGAGUCAUUGAUGCUACUAGGGCUGGAAGCAUUGCUCAUCUGAUUAACCAUUCUUGUGAGCCCAAUUGCUACUCAAGAGUUAUUAGUGUAAAUGGUGAUGAGCACAUAAUCAUUUUUGCAAAGCGAGACAUCAAAAGAUGGGAAGAGCUCACAUACGAUUAUAGGUUUUUCUCAAUUGAUGAACAACUGGCCUGUUAUUGUGGUUUCCCAAGAUGUCGUGGUGUAGUUAAUGACAUUGAUGCAGAAGAGCGAGCGGCAAAAUUAUAUGCACCUCGCAGUGAAUUAAUAGAUUGGAGAGGAGAAUGAGAGUACUUAUAACUGAUUGGAUGCAUUGUUAGAGAAUAUACGCUAUAACAAGGAAUACAAAUCUAAGGAUUUAUUGGUAGAUUGUGUCAUUGCAUUGUUCAGCUGGCUCAAGAUUAAGAAUUGGAUUUCAUCUUGGUGCUUCUUUCAUAUACAUUAUGAGUGGGCUGGAAAUUGUCCUAGUUUUCUUCAGUUACAACCAUGGUAGGAAUGUGUCUUGCACUUGCAUAUCUCUGAAGUCAAAAGGAUUUCUGUUACCUAGAUGUUGUAAGGUUUCCCUUGAUUCAUCAUGUAGCUGCAAUUUCUGAGAGAAAUUUGGUAUUGCUGUUGCUUUCUAAUCUUUGAUUUCUGUUGACAUUGGGGACUUUUUUUCUUCACGAAAUUGUUGUCUAAAUGUGUGAUGAAUAUACAUCGAUGCAUGUAACUACUUGAAUGCUGUCUAGCUAAGCUAUGUUCAUAUUCAUUUAAUGUUUUGGUGAAGGCCAUUUUAUCUUUAAUCUUAAUGAAUACGUUAUUUAUAUUCUUCUUUCUUGUAAUAUCUCUGAUGUAUCGGUUUAUUGUCUGUCAUUUGUGUCAAGAAAUGUAAAUAUUGCUCUACUGACUGUUUCUUUCCAUUUCUUUCCC
This is an RNA transcript of Humulus lupulus (European hop), 4125 nucleotides long. It is a transcript of the gene named histone-lysine N-methyltransferase ATX2-like, with no coding region annotated. The record is from RefSeq and is a predicted model, not a curated record. Lineage: Eukaryota; Viridiplantae; Streptophyta; Magnoliopsida; Rosales; Cannabaceae. The transcript is spliced from 26 exons.